UGUUGCCUUCUGAGUUGCAUGACCUUGAGUUACCUGAGAUUGCCAUAGGAUUUGUCAAGAUUGGGAAUAAAGGGCAUUUUGUACAGGUAUUGUAUCUGCAUUUAGAACUUUUAUUCUAUACAAUUGAUAUAUAGUCAUGUAGGUGCAUGUUAAUAGUUUCCUCUUUCUUGUUCAAUAACAAAAUGGCACACUUUUCUUUUGUAGGUGAAUUUGUCAUCAGGGUUGGUACCUAUACCUCCAAUUUCAAGUGAGUGGCACAAGAAUAAUGAUGAAACUGCAGAACACUUGUACCUUAGAUACCAAGCCCGUGAAGAGAAAUUCAAACAAGUGCUCCCGAGUGCCCAUGUUGCUGGUGUCACAAAAAUUAUGGAUCUUGAUGAUGACUCGGCAUGAACUGUUGUUUGAUGAAAACUUCUGUUCAAGAAUAGAUGUUAUAGCUUUGUAAACAAUACUUAUGAAGUUGGUGUUUUCAAGUUCAGCAUUAGGAAGUAUAAAGGAUUUAAUCUGUUGUUCUUCAUUUGUCCAUUUCAUUAUUUCUUUCGGUUGAACAUUCCAUAAGAUAUGACUGAACUUAUGAAGAUGUCCAGAAAAUGCAGAUGUAGAACAUCAAGCCAACCUGCAUAAUUGUGUUUCAUCUAAAAAAAUAACCUGCAUAAUUGUGGAAGACACUUAUACAUGAAUUUGGGAGACACUUGUGAAUCAAGUUCUAUCAGAAAGCACUUAUACAGCUUCCACAAUUAUGCAUAAGUUAUACAUAAAGCACUUAUAUGUGUCUUCCACAAGUUGUAUAUCAUGUAUUAGUGUCUUCCAAUCUCAGAAAGCUGGAAAAGCUGAUGUAUGGAUAUAGAGACCUCUGGGAAGUUGGGUAUUCCUUCUUAAACAAAUUACAAAGACCUCUGGGAAGUUGGGUAUUCCUUCUUAAACAAAUUACAAAGAAUACAACAAUAUCAUGAGUUCCUCUAAAAUCUGUGAUUGGGAAAACAUAUAUAGAGACCUCUAGGAAGUUGGGUAUUCCUUCUUCAAGCACCAUCACACCUCACUCCUCUCCUCCGAUCUCCCCAAACCCCAAAACCCACCACCCAAACAAUCCCAAAUCCUCCGCCUCUGCAAAUCCGGCCUACUUCUCGACGACAUUCAUCUCCACAACUCCACAAACCCUUCCAAACUCACCCUCAAACUUCUCCUGGCCUCUACGCUUCACUCCUCCAAACAUGCACCAAAGUUGUCUCUCUCACCCACGGCCUCCAAAUCCACGCCCAUGUCAUCAAAACCGGCCUCGAAACAGACCGCUUCGUCGGCAAUAGCCUCCUCUCUCUCUACUUCAAGCUCAUCCCCAACAUGACCCAAACACAAAAAAUGUUCGAUGCUCUGUAUUUCCGUGAUGUGAUAUCGUAGACGUCUAAGAAAAUAAAUUUUGUGAAUUUUGUUUUAGAUUCUAUUCAAGAUCAAAUAGGUUAAUAAAAAUACAUGGUGGAAAAUAUUAGGUUUAAGAUGAUGAUGUGGCAUGUGCCAUAUCAUUUGGUAUAGAGUUUUUGUAUGAAUUUUUGGUGUCUCUAGCAUUUUCCUUAUUAAAUACCUAUGUAAAUUCAAACUCAGAGUCCUAGGCCCACUUAAUUAAUAUUUAAAAUUAAAAAUAUUAAUAUUAAGGCAGACUUUAAUAAAAAUAAAAAUAAAAAACUGUUCUAGGAUAUUCUGUAUCUUUCUAGAUAUUCUUUAUAUGUGUCUUGGCCUUAUGCCAUUAGGAUGAGAAAUUUUAAAUACACACCCCUAAUCUCUUAAUACACACCUCUAUUAUUUUAUGUUUAUAUUGAGAUUUUAUAGGUAAGCUAAAUGACCAAAAUAAACAUCUACUAAUUAAAAAAAAAAAAUCACGCUAGAAGUGUUAUUUUCAACAUCUUCUAUCCUAAAAUCGUCGAAAGCACGUCUUCUCCCCUAACCCCAACUCUUCUCCACAAUUCAUUUGGGUUGUCUUUUUUUUCCUUUUUGUUCUUCUUUUUAUUUUUAUUUUUA
This 2010-nucleotide long non-coding RNA is filed under the name Fragaria vesca (wild strawberry). RNAcentral's name for it is "long non-coding RNA (FVES_LNC003815)". The record is from RNAcentral. Lineage: Eukaryota; Viridiplantae; Streptophyta; Magnoliopsida; Rosales; Rosaceae.